CUCCUCCUCCUCCUCCUCCUCCUCCUCCUCCUCCUCCUCCUCCUCCUUCUUCUGGCACACUAGCCUAUCUACUCAGUGUGCACUGAGAAGAACAGGCAGCCAAAGAUGCCAGAAGGGAGUGAGUAGUCUCUGAUCUGAGUAAAUAUAGCAAGCACCAGAUGGGACUGUGGAAUUCUUAAGGAAAGAGUGGAUUCAUUUUGAGUUUUCUUAAAUUAGAUUAAAUGUUCCUUGGCAAACAGCAAUCCAUUUAACUCUGACUAAGCUCUGUGAUUGUGAAGAUGCCGUGUUAGCACUUUGAGCUAUUGUUAUCCAGUCCAUGGUGGAUGAUAAUACUCUACAGUAUUAAAAAUUGUUUUAGCCUU
Molecule: long non-coding RNA, 362 nt
Organism: Peromyscus eremicus (cactus mouse)
Lineage: Eukaryota; Metazoa; Chordata; Mammalia; Rodentia; Cricetidae
Exons: 3
Source: RefSeq, a predicted model, not a curated record